This 74-nucleotide transfer RNA is filed under the name Methanomicrobiales archaeon HGW-Methanomicrobiales-3. RNAcentral's name for it is "tRNA-Val". It matches the Rfam family "tRNA". From Rfam's summary of the family: Transfer RNA (tRNA) molecules are approximately 80 nucleotides in length. Their secondary structure includes four short double-helical elements and three loops (D, anti-codon, and T loops). Lineage: Archaea; Methanobacteriati; Methanobacteriota; Methanomicrobia; Methanomicrobiales. The record is from RNAcentral. RNAcentral also lists the same sequence under 2 other names.
GGGCUCGUGGUCUAGUCGGUUAUGACGUCGCCCUUACACGGCGAAGAUCGCCGGUUCGAAUCCGGCCGGGCCCA